UACGUAGGGUGCAAGCGUUGUCCGGAAUUAUUGGGCGUAAAGGGCUCGUAGGCGGUUUGUCGCGUCGGGAGUGAAAACUCAGGGCUUAACCCUGAGCCUGCUUCCGAUACGGACAGACUAGAGGUAUGCAGGGGAGAAUGGAAUUCCUGGUGUAGCGGUGAAAUGCGCAGAUAUCAGGAGGAACACCGGUGGCGAAGGCGGUUCUCUGGGCAUUACCUGACGCUGAGGAGCGAAAGUGUGGGGAGCGAACAGG
This 253-nucleotide ribosomal RNA is filed under the name uncultured bacterium. RNAcentral's name for it is "partial 16S ribosomal RNA". It matches the Rfam family "Bacterial small subunit ribosomal RNA", at positions 524 to 776 of the family's 1533-position model. The record is from RNAcentral.